GUUAGGAAUAUUGGACAAUGGGCGCAAGCCUGAUCCAGCCAUGCCGCGUGAGUGAUGAAGGCCUUCGGGUUGUAAAGCUCUUUAGCCGAUGAUUAUAAUGACUGUAGUCGGAAAAUAAGCCCCGGCUAACUUCGUGCCAGCAGCCGCGGUAAUACGAAGGGGGCGAGCGUUAUUCGGAAUCACUGGGCGUAAAGCGUGCGUAGGCGGCUUUGCAAGUUGGGAGUGAAAGCCCAGGGCUCAACCCUGGAAUUGCUCUCAAAACUGCAAGGCUCGAAUUCGGGAGAGGAUAGCGGAAUUGUCAGUGUAGCAGUGAAAUGCGUAGAUAUUGGAAGGAACACCAGUGGCGUAAGCGGCUAUCUGGACGAGUAUUGACGCUGAGGCACGAAAGCGUGGGGAUCAAACAGGAUUAGAUACCCGUGUAGUCC
This 425-nucleotide ribosomal RNA is filed under the name uncultured bacterium. RNAcentral's name for it is "partial 16S ribosomal RNA". It matches the Rfam family "Bacterial small subunit ribosomal RNA", at positions 354 to 796 of the family's 1533-position model. The record is from RNAcentral.